CACAGACAGAAGGAGAACUUUUGAUAGGUAACACCUCAGUGUUUUUUUAAUCUUUUUGGCAAAUUAUCAUUUAUCAUUAUAUUUUUGCCUGCCAUAUAAUAUUAUUACAAUGAUAUAAAAAAUACAAGAUAAGUUUAUUAGGCCUCAAAAAAAGGAUUGACUUAUUAGUCAGGGCAUGUAGGAUGAGAGAGGGAGACAGAAAGACAGUGAGAGAGAGACAAAUAUUCUGUUGUUUUAUUACAGAUCAAACUGAAGCUGGAAAAAUAGAAAACAGCUAAGGUACUCAUGAGGAUUUUAGCUUCUUUUGAGUUCACAAAAGGAAAUGGCUUAUUAGUGACAGAGAAAACAAAAGAAUCACCCUUCUUCAGGACUUGAAAACUCUGUUGUUUCAAAAAUAUGUGGUUCCCUGGGAUAAAAACUCACAGCUAAUUUUAUUUUCCAAAUUGGAAGGGGGUGGGUGAGAAUAUUUUGAGAUGAGAAAUUGCCCAAGCCUUUCUGGUCUGUAUGCACUUCCCCAGGAUGCAGAGAUGAAGAGACCAUGAUUCACAGGAUGCCCCAAUAGGUACUAAAACAAAAUUUACAAAAUCACAGCUUGAUGCAAAGUCUCAUGUUGGGCUGAUUGAAGGAAAAACUAGAAACACUGCACAGAGUUUCCUGGCAUCAAAAAGAGAAACAUCAGCCGAUUGUUUUUGUUAAUUGAAGGCCACUUUGGGACCUCAGUGAAAAUAUUCUUCUCACCUGUUUUUUAAUUGUCU
Molecule: long non-coding RNA, 755 nt
Filed under: Marmota monax (woodchuck)
Lineage: Eukaryota; Metazoa; Chordata; Mammalia; Rodentia; Sciuridae
Source: RNAcentral